GAGUAUCCGGGACUCCGAUUCACAAUCCGUCGAAUCCUACACGAUCCUAAAAUUAUUUGGAACAACAUAUCCGAAAUUGAGAGCGAUCCAACGGUUCGGUAAUAUUGAACGCGAAAAUCGCACAAUAUGAAAAAUCCAUUCGGGGCUCAAACGGAAUCCAAAUUGAGAUCCGCAAAAUCCUAUGCGCUCGUGACAACAUAAGGGUCGCAACAAGACACAAUUCCAUUGCACUACCCUCACCCACACGCUCCAGCACGCGCCAGCAGCGAUGGGUGUCUAAAGC
Molecule: long non-coding RNA, 283 nt
Filed under: Prunus persica (peach)
Lineage: Eukaryota; Viridiplantae; Streptophyta; Magnoliopsida; Rosales; Rosaceae
Description: long non-coding RNA (PPER_LNC005998)
Source: RNAcentral